RNAcentral lists this ribosomal RNA (466 nucleotides) under uncultured bacterium. RNAcentral's name for it is "partial 16S ribosomal RNA". It matches the Rfam family "Bacterial small subunit ribosomal RNA", at positions 339 to 795 of the family's 1533-position model. The record is from RNAcentral.
CUACGGGACGCAGCAGUGGGGAAUAUUGGACAAUGGGGGAAACCCUGAUCCAGCAAUGCCGCGUGUGUGAAGAAGGCCUGCGGGUUGUAAAGCACUUUCGGUUGGGAGGACUGCUUCUAGCACUAAUAUUGUUGGAAGUUGACGUUACCUUCAGAAGAAGCACCGGCUAACUCCGUGCCAGCAGCCGCGGUAAUACGGAGCGGUGCAAGCGUUAAUCGGAAUUACUGGGCGUAAAGCGCGCGUAGGCGGCUAGAUCAGUCGGGUGUGAAAGCCCCGGGCUUAACCUGAGAACUGCAUCCGAUACUGUCUAGCUUGAGUACAGGAGAGGAGAGUGGAAUUCCACAUGUAGCGGUGAAAUGCGUAGAUAUGUGGAGGAACACCAAUGGCGAAGGCAGCUCUCUGGCCUGAUACUGACGCUGAGGUGCGAAAGCGUGGGGAGCAAACAGGAUUAGAUACCCCGGUAGUC